CGCGGUAAAACCAGCACCUCAAGUGGUCAGGAUGAUUAUUGGGCUUAAAGCAUCCGUAGCCUGCUUUGUUAGUUUUCGGUUAAAUCCAUACGCUCAACGUAUGGGCUGCCGGGAAUACUGCAAAGCUAGGGAGUGGGAGAGGUAGACGGUACUCGGUAGGAAGGGGUAAAAUCCUUUGAUCUAUUGAUGACCACCUGUGGCGAAGGCGGUCUACCAGAACACGUCCGACGGUGAGGGAUGAAAGCUGGGGGAGCAAACCGGAUUAGAUACCCGGGUAGUCCCAGCUGUAAACUAUGCAAACUCGGUGAUGCAUUGGCUUGAUGCCAAUGCAGUGCCGCAGGGAAGCCGUUAAGUUUGCCGCCUGGGAAGUACGUACGCAAGUAUGAAACUUAAAGGAAUUGGCGGGGGAGCACCACAAGGGGUGAAGCCUGCGGUUCAAUUGGAGUCAACGCCAGAAAUCUUACCCGGAGAGACAGCAGAAUGAAGGUCAAGCUGAAGACUUUACCAGACAAGCUGAGAGGUGGUGCAUGGCCGUCGCCAGCUCGUGCCGUGAGAUGUCCUGUUAAGUCAGGUAACGAGCGAGAUCCCUGCCUCUAGUUGCCACCAUUACUCUCAGGAGUAGUGGGGCGAAUUAGCGGGACCGCCGUAGUUAAUACGGAGGAAGGAAGGGGCCACGGCAGGUCAGUAUGCCCCGAAACUCUGGGGCCACACGCGGGCUGCAAUGGUAACGACAAUGUGUUCCGAAUCCGAAAGGAGGAGGUAAUCCAGAAACGUUACCACAGUUAUGACUGAGGGCUGCAACUCGCCCUCACGAAUAUGGAAUCCCUAGUAACUGCGUGUCAUUAUCGCGCGGUGAAUACGUCCCUGCUCCUUGCACACACCGCCCGUCGUUUCAUUGAAGUUUGCUUUUAGCGAGGUGACGUCUAAUGGCGUUAUCGAACUG
This 943-nucleotide ribosomal RNA is filed under the name uncultured marine group I thaumarchaeote. RNAcentral's name for it is "bacterial SSU rRNA". It matches the Rfam family "Archaeal small subunit ribosomal RNA", at positions 466 to 1410 of the family's 1478-position model. The record is from RNAcentral. Lineage: Archaea; Thermoproteati; Nitrososphaerota.